GACUCGGUAGCGGAUGGUCCGCGUCCGCUUAACCUCCGGUUGGAGACCAUACAUGUGGAAGCCGUCUGUUCGAAUCAGGCCCGAGUCC
Mycena galopus ATCC 62051 is the source of this 88-nucleotide non-coding RNA. The record is from the annotation of a GenBank genome assembly. NCBI's taxonomy places the organism in Eukaryota, Fungi, Basidiomycota, Agaricomycetes, Agaricales, Mycenaceae.